UUUGGGCCAUUGUGUGAAAGCAAUAGAAAAAAAUAUCGGGCAUUUUUAUCUGCAGUGACUAACCACCACAUUCAGUUAGCUAGAAUUGUGACGUUUGAUCUGGGAGGACCUACAGAUCAUCUUCGAAGAAGAAAUAGAAAAGUAAUGAACCAGGCAAGGGCCACUGCUAGUUGUUGAUACAUGACAUUCCUUUUCAUUCUCGGUGUUCUUUAUCAAUCUAUGCCUGGGCAGCUCCAUGAAUCUCUUUGUUCUGAGUGACAUUGUGAUGAUGACCACCAAGAAAAAGAAAUUCUGUCACCUCUGGACAAUGUCUCCCAAUGUGACUCUAUCUAAGAUAGUUUCAUGUUUCAUCUUGUGUAACUUAGAAUAUACAGAAUAAUGACAAUGAUGAGGACAAUGAGCUAUAAACGAAUUUCCAUUGUAUUAAUCAAAAGCAACACAUGCAUUUGAUAAACGACGUUUCUAUGUAUAUAUUCAAGAGCGUGUGACCUAUCAUACAUUCGUUCACCCUACAAAAAUAUUUGCACAUAAGAAUUUCCAAAUUCUCUGUAGUCAAUGCGCUUAUCUACAGUUGUCUGAAACUCACAAGUUGAAGACUAUUUGCUCUAAAAUUUUCAAGAUCACUAUCAAUCAGAUGAGAAAAAAUGCAGCCUAAAGGGAUCCCUGAUUACUUAAAUGUCAGAAACUGAACAAUAAAAAUGAAAAGUGUGAAUAAAAAAUGUAUUAUUUGAUUUGCCUUCAUUGAUAUCCAUACAUUGAGACAAAUAGAAAAACCCUAAAAGGAUGGAAAAUUAUUUGUUUGUUUUUAGGUUAACAUUUCCUGGAACAUACAGAUUUUAUUUUUUCAGAUGAGAGCCCUCUAUCUUGCUUUGAUAUAAAGAAACAUCAGAAAAUGUGCUGCUAUGAAUAAUAUUUGUAAUUUUAAUAAUGUCCUAUGCUAAUUACUUAAACUUGUGAUUUAUUAUAAAAAUUGCUAAGGUAGAUAAUUGGAACCAAAACAAACAAACAAAAGUCACAAUGGCAAGAACAAUAUCAACAAAACCAAGUUUUCAUAUACAUUUCCAGCAAAGGUGAGAGAAUGAGAAUUACAGAGUACAUUUUCAAGUUAUAUUAUUGAAUCUUUAAUUUUUUUGUUAUUUAAGGAGGAAAUGUUUCCACUCCAAAAAAAGCUUUAUGGUCAGAUACAAAACUUGAAGCCUAGAAAAUUUUGCUUGGAGGUAGCUGUUGAUAUUGAAUCACUUCAUGGCUUAUAGUUAAGGAGCAUUUAUCUAAUGUUGAAUAGAGAUCGCUAAAAAGUGAUCUCUAGUUAAUAAGCUUUUACAAUUGAGGGUAAUUUUUGUCCCCCACUGAGAAAUAGCUGGAUUUCAUUCUAUGCUAAUGAAACUGUUUUUCAGUGGCGCAUACAGUGAUUUUCAUAAUUCUAGUCCUGGCUGGGAUGUUGGGAAAAUGGAACAUAGCCAGAAUAAUUAAAAUGGGAUUUAAGGCCAUAUUUUGGAAAGCUUCUAUUUUUCAGGAUGGUUGUUUGCGACUGCAGUUAUUUCUGAAGUCUCAAACAUUUCAGACCUGAGAAUAAAUUUAGUGUUGAGGAAAGUUGUAAGCUUUGACUCAGAUUUCAGCUCUGCUACUGCUGGCUCUGUGGUCUUGACCAAUUUGCUUAAUAGUGUGAUAUUUACCUUGCAGGGUUGUUAAAAAACUUCUAUAUCAUAUUUAAAGUAGUUGUCAUGCUAUAUUUAAUAUAUCAUAGUUACUAUUCUUAUUAUCAUUAAUAUUGUUACCAGAAUAAUUCGCAGAGUGAUUAUGAUUACGACUGUAGUAUUUAGCAGUUGAUCCUUUAAAAUAUACUGAAAGUAAACUCCUUUCCUAGGAAAUUGUCAGGUUAAAUAUAUCCAAUAUAAAUAAACAAAUGGAGCUUCAAACACAUUAUAAGAUGAACUGCUGAGUACAAAAUUUGGAAAUGCUCAAUCUAGUAAGCUGCCUCAAUUUCUCAAAUAUGACAGAACACAUGAAAUUCUGGAGGGACCCAGAUUGUCACAUACAUGAAUUAUUUCGUCACUUUUAGGACCUACCCUUUUAAAAAUGAAUAGUGCCCCUUUGGCAAUUGUAUACAAUGUUAUAAAAUGUCUGUACAUCCCUGAAUGCUCCAACAUCUCAGCAGACUUUUCUUAGUAUUGCCUAGACUCCAAUAUUGAUUUUUCCAAGUAUAGUCCAACCACAAUAUCUUUUCCACGAGAAAGUAAUUUGUUUUAUACUAGGAAAAGAGCAGAGUGGAUAAAGGAGAAAGGAAAUCCAUCUUAAACUUUGGAUGGUAAAAGCAAAAGAGAGAAGGAAAAGCUUAGGGCACAGAUUAACUUGGAUGUGGUAAGUGUAGGUCUCUCCACAAGAUGGCACUCGUUCUCCCUCCUUUAUUUAUUUAUUUUUUUCAGUUGACAAAAAUAAAUUUGUCACUUAUUUUUCUACAGUUAUAGAGCAAAUAUAUUGUUGGUUUGUGUAUCAAAUGCAGUUUGUUUCAAGUAUCUUAAAAUCAUCCUGUGUUUCUUAUACUCAGCAAUAAAAAGUAUAAUUUUACCUCCUCUAAGGCUGUGUUUGGAUGUGAAUACACUCACUACUAAUUCUUAGGAGUGCAUACUUACCCCCACUCCCACUCCCAUGUGUAACAACAUUUAUAUUAACCUUCUAAAAAAUUUUCUGCUAAAAUCUCUGCGGCGUAUAAACUUUUAAAAACACCACCGAAAAAAUCAAAAGGCACAAACUUCCAGUUAUAAUAUAAAUAAAUACUAGAGAUGUAAUGAACAAUGAUAAGUAUAAUUAACUCCCCUGAAUGUUGUAUAUGAAAGUUGUUAAGGGAGUAAAUCAUAAGAGUUUUCAUCACAAGGAAAAUUUUUUUCUAUUUCUUUACUUCUGUAUCUAUAUGAAGUAAUAGUUGUGCACCAAAUUUAUUGUGAUAAUUAUUUCAGGAUGUAUGUAAUCCAAAUCAAUGUUAUACACCUUAAGCUUAUGUUAUUGAGUGCUGUGUCUCAAUUUUAUCUCAACAAAACUGGAAGAAAAAAAUAAAACAUAUUUGAAGACUAAAAAGAACAAGAGUGACCCCCUUUUUGUUUGUAUUAUCAUUUAAAAUUUUAAGUGGAUGUACUUUUCCACUUGUAAGAUAAUCUCUGAUAUUUCCCUCUGACCAUGAGUCAGAAGCAUAUUUACCUCCAAUGAGCCUUGGGUCUCCUUAAGCUUUUUAGUGAUGGGAAAUGUCACAACUAUAUUCUUGUCACUUGAAGUUAACUUCAGCCGGAGUCUGCAAUCAUUUAAAUGAUUCAUUAAAUGAUUUUUAAGAUCAAAUGCAAAGUAAUAUAUGUUACUUCUUAGAACAUUAAAGAAAAAAGAUAUGCUGCCAGUUUUAUUAAAAAUAGGCUUUGAAUGAUAAAUGGUAAGUAAAUAAAGGGAAUUUAAUUGAAAAUGUCAUGCUUCUAUCUUUAGCACUGGCAUCAGAUUUUCUUUUAGGAGAUUUAGAAGGUAUGGCAUGUAUUGUCUGGAUUUCUUUUCUUUUUCUUUUCUUUUCUUUUCUUUUCUUUUCUUUUCUUUUCUUUUCUUUUCUUUUCUUUUCUUUUCUUCUUUGGUCAACUUUAGAGUAAGGUUUCUAUAAGACAGACUGUGAAGGUUAUAGUAAAUUCUUCCAUGCCUUGAUCAUAACAACUAUUAUUAUGAAGUCUUUGCCUCACCUUUUAGGACACCGACCUUGUUGGAUGCUGAUAUUGCAGAACGCUUGCUACCACAUAGCAAAAGUCACACUUUGGAAGAAAGAGGCAGAAAAAUCCCAGGAGGAUUCUAAGAAGACAAACAUAUUACAGAGAGAAAACUAAAACUUAUGUCAGAAUUCAUAGGAAAACAAAGCUAAAGUUUGAAUGAUUUCAAUAAAAAUAGUAGAUUCUGCUAUAACUUGUUAUAUAGGCUAGACACUAAACUAAGCCCUUACUCUUUAUUAGAUCCUAGAAUGACCAAAACCAUUGUCCUCUUUGUUAACAGACAGGAUAACUGAGAACCAGAAAGAUUAAAUGGCUUGGAUUUGAAGGUAGGAUUUAAAUCCAGUUCUGACUUUUCCAAGGCCUUGGACUUUAGCUAUUUCACAUCCCUGGCUCACUGACUUAUGGAACGUAAAAUGCUAGAAUUUGCCUGUGUAAGUGUAGAUCGUUGUUUCACUCUUUCAAAUUUUAAGGGAAAGUGGGCUUUUAAUGAACACAGUAGAUAUUUCAAUUUGAUGCAUGGAGGAAGUUCUCAAUCCUCAGGGUUUGGAAACAGUGAAUGAAGUAAAAAAGGGGCUGUGCAGAUUCUGAAUUAAAAUUCUUCAAGCAAGUGGUCACAACUGCUUUCCUAGUUGUACAGGUAAAUCUUCUAAAGAAUAUACAGAACUGCAUAGGUAUCUCCUUUAGAGGGUUUUUUUUUUAAAUAAUUUUAAACACCUUUAUGUGAAAUAUAUAUCCUAAUAUUGAACUCAAUCUUCAGCAUUCCUCCUUCACAUCUCACCUCUGCCGUAUAAAGCCCUAGACCCUUGGAAUACAUGGACUGUUACUCAACCAUUAAAAAAAGAAUGAAAUAAUGCCAUUUGCAGCAACAUGCAUGGACCUAGAGAUAUAUUAAGUGAAGUAAGUCAGACAAAGACAAAUAUCAUAUAUCACUUAUACGUGUAAACUAAAAGUGAUAGAAAUAAACUUAUUUACAAAAUAAAGUAGGCUCACAGGCAUGGAAAACAGACUAUGGUUUCCAAAGGGGAUAAUGGAGGGGAAUUAAAAGUUUGGGAUUAAUGUAUGCAUCUGCUGUAUAUAUAAUAGGUAAACAACAAAGACCUACUUUAUAGCACAGCAAAAUAUACUAAUAUGAUAACCCAUAAUGGAAAAGAAUCUGGAAAAGAAUAUAUAUAUGUAAUUGCCAAGACAUAUCAGCAGGAUGGGGCUGAAGAACAGGUGCUGUGAAACUUAAGGAAAAAAGUUAACUUAAGACACAGAGACAUUUAUCUUAAGUAAAGGUGGGAACCAGGGGACUCAAGGUCUCAGGGACCAAGAGCACCACCUCAAGAAACCACACUGCUUUUAUUGUGCUCUUUAGGAUUACGACAAGUGAGGAGGGGGCUAUAGAUGGAGGAUAUAGGGGUUUUUUUUUUUAUUAUUUAAGUUCUAUUUAUUAUUUUAAAAGUCACUUAGCUGGUAGAUGGUUAAGCUUUUACUCUGACCUUUAGGUAUUUAACAAUCAUUAGCAUUUGAGUUAGCUAUCUAUGCAUAGCAUUUCAGAGAAUCCUUACUGUGCUUCCACAAACAGCCUGCCUAGGUUUUCACCUUGGUUCUCUUUGCUAAUGCAUAUUCUGCUAACGACCGCUCAUAAACCACUUGGCCAUGAGGUUCCUCUUUCUCUUAUUCUUUUGAGGACAUAUGGUGCUUGUGCAAAUGGCGUGCCCAUCUGCACAGGUCCAGCGUGCCUAGACCAACGCAUUAUGUCCUCAUUCAGCUGACCCUAUGAAUAGCUUAUGCCUUUAGGUCUUUGUUCUUAAGCUUAAGUCAUUCACCAGCACUGCGACUGUUUUUCAAGCAGGAAGAUGGGGUGAAGUAAAGCAGGGCAAAAUGGAGUUUUCAGCAAAGAGGCUAAGAAAAUAUUGUAGAAACAUGUUUCAUGACAUCUAUAAUAUUACAUAUAAAUAUAUUUAUAACUGAAUCACUUUGUUGUACACUUAAAACUAAUACAUUGUAAAUUAACUAUAAGUAAAAAAAAAAAAGCCCUAGAUUUUUAAGUCAUUAGCAUGACUUGAUAUGAUCACUUUUUAGUGACUUUUUCACAUUCUCAUAAACUAGGCAUGUAGUCUAUUUGUAAUAACUACAUGAAGUCUUUUCUGCAUGGUAGUUUAUCUAGCUAUUUCUUUUGGCUGGGGUAGUGUUGGGGGACAGAGACUCGAGAUACAUAUUGGUUUUUUUAACAUAAAGUCCCCAAAAUGGAAUUAUUAUAAUGAAAGAAAUUAAUAGAUUUUUCACUGUUGUUAAACAUUUCCAGAUAGCUUUCUGGAGAGAACAAACGACUUUUUAAUGACUUCAGCCAUGUAUAAAUCAUAAAUCCUAAAUGUAAAUUAUGAAUACGUGAGCUUUUCCUAGUUUUCGGAACUGACAAGAUAAAAAAAGAUAAGAAAGUGCAGCUGGGAGUUCCUGUCAUGGCCCAGUGGUUAAUGAACCUGAUUGGCAUCCAUGAGGAUGUGGUUUGAUCCCUGCCCUCGCUUAGUGGGUUAAGUAUCUGGCAUUGCCGUGAGCUGUGGUGUAGGUUGCAGACACAGCUUGGAUCCCACAUUGUUAUGGCUGUGGUGUAGGCCAGCGGCUAUAGCUCUAAUUGGACCCCUAGCCUGGGAAUCUCCAUAU
RNAcentral lists this long non-coding RNA (6377 nucleotides) under Sus scrofa (pig). RNAcentral describes it as "lncRNA (ENSSSCG00000060599.1)". Lineage: Eukaryota; Metazoa; Chordata; Mammalia; Artiodactyla; Suidae. The record is from RNAcentral.